UGGGGAAUAUUGCACAAUGGGCGCAAGCCUGAUGCAGCCAUGCCGCGUGUAUGAAGAAGGCCUUCGGGUUGUAAAGUACUUUCAGCAGGGAGGAAGGUGUCGUGGUUAAUAACCACAGCAAUUGACGUUACCCGCAGAAGAAGCACCGGCCAACUCCGUG
RNAcentral lists this ribosomal RNA (160 nucleotides) under uncultured bacterium. Its description in RNAcentral is "partial 16S ribosomal RNA". It matches the Rfam family "Bacterial small subunit ribosomal RNA", at positions 355 to 507 of the family's 1533-position model. The record is from RNAcentral.